This 393-nucleotide ribosomal RNA is filed under the name uncultured bacterium. Its description in RNAcentral is "partial 16S ribosomal RNA". It matches the Rfam family "Bacterial small subunit ribosomal RNA", at positions 523 to 918 of the family's 1533-position model. The record is from RNAcentral.
AUACGGAGGAUGCGAGCGUUAUCCGGAUUUAUUGGGUUUAAAAGGUGCGUAGGCGGUUCUGCAAGUCAGCGGUGAAACCCCCGGGCUCAACCCGGGACCUGCCGUUGAUACUGCGGGGCUGGAAUGCUGUUGCCGUGGGAGGAAUGAGUAGUGUAGCGGUGAAAUGCAUAGAUAUUACUCAGAACACCGAUUGCGAAGGCAUCUCACGAAGCAGUUAUUGACGCUGAGGCACGAAAGCGUGGGGAUCAAACAGGAUUAGAUACCCUGGUAGUCCACGCAGUAAACGAUGAUGACUAACCGCUGGUUUUUAGGGAUCAGUGGCCAAGCGAAAGCGAUAAGUCAUCCACCUGGGGAGUACGACCGCAAGGUUGAAACUCAAAUGAAUUGGCGGGG